RNAcentral lists this ribosomal RNA (458 nucleotides) under uncultured bacterium. RNAcentral's name for it is "partial 16S ribosomal RNA". It matches the Rfam family "Bacterial small subunit ribosomal RNA", at positions 338 to 795 of the family's 1533-position model. The record is from RNAcentral.
CCUACGGGAGGCAGCAGUGAGGAAUAUUGGUCAAUGGGCGAGAGCCUGAACCAGCCAAGUCGCGUGAGGGAGUACUGCCCUAUGGGUUGUAAACCUCUUUUGUCGGGGAGCAAAAGCCGGACGUGUCCGGCUGUGAGAGUAACCGAAGGAAAAGCAUCGGCUAACUCCGUGCCAGCAGCCGCGGUAAUACGGAGGAUGCGAGCGUUAUCCGGAUUUAUUGGGUUUAAAGGGUGCGCAGGCGGAUUCUUAAGGCAGCGGUAAAAUCGUGGGGCUCAACCCCAUCCAGCCGUUGAAACUGGGGAUCUAGAGUGUGCGAGAGGUAUGCGGAAUGCGUGGUGUAGCGGUGAAAUGCAUAGAUAUCACGCAGAACCCCGAUUGCGAAGGCAGCAUACCGGUGCACAACUGACGCUCAGGCACGAAAGCGUGGGUAUCGAACAGGAUUAGAUACCCCUGUAGUC